GACGAACGCUGGCGGCGUGCUUAACACAUGCAAGUCGAACGGAAAGGCCCUGCUUUUGUGGGGUGCUCGAGUGGCGAACGGGUGAGUAACACGUGAGUAACCUGCCCUUGACUUUGGGAUAACUUCAGGAAACUGGGGCUAAUAUCGGAUAGGAGCUCCUGCUGCAUGGUGGGGGUUGGAAAGUUUCGGCGGUUGGGGAUGGACUCGCGGCUUAUCAGCUUGUUGGUGGGGUAGUGGCUUACCAAGGCUUUGACGGGUAGCCGGCCUGAGAGGGUGACCGGCCACAUGGGGACUGAGAUACGGCCCAGACUCCAACGGGAGGCAGCAGUGGGGAAUAUUGCACAAUGGGCGGAAGCCUGAUGCAGCAACGCCGCGUGCGGGAUGACGGCCUUCGGGUUGUAAACCGCUUUCGCCUGUGACGAAGCGUGAGUGACGGUAAUGGGUAAAGAAGCACCGGCUAACUACGUG
This 468-nucleotide ribosomal RNA is filed under the name uncultured bacterium. Its description in RNAcentral is "partial 16S ribosomal RNA". It matches the Rfam family "Bacterial small subunit ribosomal RNA", at positions 28 to 507 of the family's 1533-position model. The record is from RNAcentral.